RNAcentral lists this unclassified non-coding RNA (342 nucleotides) under Dictyonema sp. Its description in RNAcentral is "partial contains 5.8S ribosomal RNA, internal transcribed spacer 2, and large subunit ribosomal RNA". The record is from RNAcentral. Lineage: Eukaryota; Fungi; Basidiomycota; Agaricomycetes; Agaricales; Hygrophoraceae.
CGCACCUUGCGCCCCUUGGUACUCCGAGAGGCAUGCCUGUUUGAGUGUCAUCAAAUCAUCAAGACUGACAGGGGGUUCCUCAAUCUCCGUCAGGCUCUCCUUGGACAUUGGAGCGUGCGGGGGUGGACAGGGCUCUCGAGCCUGUUGAUCCCGCUCCUCCCGAAUUGCAUCAGCACUCGUCCAUCUGUGCGGGACAACUCCAGUGCCGGCGUGUUAAGUGGUCAACGUCGUGUCUGGGGGGGGCACACUUUUGGACUUUUUGCUUCGAACGGUUGCACAUGUGCGACAAGCUUUUCUUGACAAUUUGACCUCAAAUCAGGCAGGAUCACCCGCUGAACUUAA